Molecule: ribosomal RNA, 1323 nt
Filed under: uncultured bacterium
Lineage: Bacteria
Description: partial 16S ribosomal RNA
Rfam family: Bacterial small subunit ribosomal RNA
Source: RNAcentral
AGAGUUUGAUCCUGGCUCAGGAUGAACGCUGGCGGCGUGCUUAACACAUGCAAGUCGAACGGGAAACCUUUUAAAGAAGCUUCGGCAGAUUUAGCUGGUUUCUAGUGGCGGACGGGUGAGUAACGCGUGGGUAACCUGCCUUGUACAGGGGGAUAACAGUCAGAAAUGACUGCUAAUACCGCAUAAGCGCACAGGACCGCAUGGUCCGGUGUGAAAAACUCCGGUGGUAUAAGAUGGACCCGCGUUGGAUUAGCUGGUUGGUGGGGUAACGGCCUACCAAGGCGACGAUCCAUAGCCGGCCUGAGAGGGUGAACGGCCACAUUGGGACUGAGACACGGCCCAGACUCCUACGGGAGGCAGCAGUGGGGAAUAUUGCACAAUGGGGGAAACCCUGAUGCAGCGACGCCGCGUGAAGGAAGAAGUAUCUCGGUAUGUAAACUUCUAUCAGCAGGGAAGAAUUAGGACGGUACCUGACUAAGAAGCCCCGGCUAACUACGUGCCAGCAGCCGCGGUAAUACGUAGGUGGCGAGCGUUGUCCGGAAUUAUUGGGCGUAAAGAGCAUGUAGGCGGUUUUUUAAGUCUGGAGUGAAAAUGCGGGGCUCAACCCCGUAUGGCUCUGGAUACUGGAAGACUUGAGUGCAGGAGAGGAAAGGGGAAUUCCCAGUGUAGCGGUGAAAUGCGUAGAUAUUGGGAGGAACACCAGUGGCGAAGGCGCCUUUCUGGACUGUGUCUGACGCUGAGAUGCGAAAGCCAGGGUAGCGAACGGGAUUAGAUACCCCGGUAGUCCUGGCCGUAAACGAUGGGUACUAGGUGUAGGAGGUAUCGACCCUUUCUGUGCCGGAGUUAACGCAAUAAGUACCCCGCCUGGGGAGUACGUCCGCAAGGAUGAAACUCAAAGGAAUUGACGGGGGCCCGCACAAGCGGUGGAGUAUGUGGUUUAAUUCGACGCAACGCGAAGAACCUUACCAAGGCUUGACAUUGAAUGACCGCUUCAGAGAUGGAGCUUUCCCUUCGGGGACAUGAAAACAGGUGGUGCAUGGCUGUCGUCAGCUCGUGUCGUGGGAUGUUGGGUUAAGUCCCGCAACGAGCGCAACCCCUAUCCUAUGUUACCAGCGGGUAAUGCCGGGGACUCAUAGGAGACUGCCAAGGACAACUUGGAGGAAGGCGGGGAUGACGUCAAGUCAUCAUGCCCCUUAUGUCUUGGGCUACACACGUACUACAAUGGUCGGCAACAGAGAGAAGCGAAGCCGUGAGGCAGAGCAAACCCCAGAAACCCGAUCUCAGUUCGGAUUGCAGGCUGCAACUCGCCUGCAUGAAGUCGGA